GUGCCAGCAGCCGCGGUAAUACGGAGGGUGCAAGCGUUAUCCGGAUUCACUGGGUUUAAAGGGUGCGUAGGUGGGCAGGUAAGUCAGUGGUGAAAUCUCCGAGCUUAACUCGGAAACUGCCAUUGAUACUAUCUGUCUUGAAUUAUCUGGAGGUGAGCGGAAUAUGUCAUGUAGCGGUGAAAUGCUUAGAUAUGACAUAGAACACCAAUUGCGAAGGCAGCUCACUACGGAUAUAUUGACACUGAGGCACGAAAGCGUGGGGAUCAAACAGGAUUAGAUACCCUAGUAGUCC
RNAcentral lists this ribosomal RNA (292 nucleotides) under uncultured bacterium. Its description in RNAcentral is "partial 16S ribosomal RNA". It matches the Rfam family "Bacterial small subunit ribosomal RNA", at positions 505 to 796 of the family's 1533-position model. The record is from RNAcentral.